UACGUAGGUCCCGAGCGUUGCCCGGAUUUAUUGGGCGUAAAGCGAGCGCAGGUGGUUUAUUAAGUCUAGUGUAAAAGGCAGUGGCUCAACCAUUGUAUGCAUUGGAAACUGGUAGACUUGAGUGCAGGAGAGGAGAGUGGAAUUCCAUGUGUAGCGGUGAAAUGCGUAGAUAUAUGGAGGAACACCGGUGGCGAAAGCGGCUCUCUGGCCUGUAACUGACACUGAGGCUCGAAAGCGUGGGGAGCAAACAGG
This 252-nucleotide ribosomal RNA is filed under the name uncultured bacterium. RNAcentral's name for it is "partial 16S ribosomal RNA". It matches the Rfam family "Bacterial small subunit ribosomal RNA", at positions 524 to 776 of the family's 1533-position model. The record is from RNAcentral.